GAAAUGCGAUAAGUAGUGUGAAUUGCAGAAUUCAGUGAAUCAUCGAAUCUUUGAACGCACAUUGCGCCCCUUGGUAUUCCAUGGGGCAUGCCUGUUCGAGCGUCAUUUGUACCCUCAAGCUCUGCUUGGUGUUGGGUGUUUGUCCCGUCUCCGCGCGUGGACUCGCCCCAAAGUGAUUGGCAGCCGGCGUACUGGUCCCGGAGCGCAGCACAUGUCGCGCAAACGAGUGCCUUGGUACGGCGGCGUCCAUAAGCCCCUCUCUCACGCUCUUAACCUCGGAUGAGGUAGGGAUACCCGCUGAACUUAAGC
This 309-nucleotide unclassified non-coding RNA is filed under the name plant metagenome. RNAcentral describes it as "partial contains 5.8S ribosomal RNA, internal transcribed spacer 2, and large subunit ribosomal RNA". The stretch from base 1 to 105 matches the Rfam family "5.8S ribosomal RNA", at positions 50 to 154 of the family's 154-position model. The record is from RNAcentral.